GUGGGGAAUUUUGGACAAUGGGCGCAAGCCUGAUCCAGCCAUGCCGCGUGCAGGAUGAAGGCCUUCGGGUUGUAAACUGCUUUUGUACGGAACGAAAAGACUCUGGUUAAUACCUGGGGUCCAUGACGGUACCGUAAGAAUAAGCACCGGCUAACUACGUGCCAGCAGCCGCGGUAAUACGUAGGGUGCAAGCGUUAAUCGGAAUUACUGGGCGUAAAGCGUGCGCAGGCGGUUUUGUAAGACAGGCGUGAAAUCCCCGGGCUCAACCUGGGAAUUGCGCUUGUGACUGCAAGGCUGGAGUGCGGCAGAGGGGGAUGGAAUUCCGCGUGUAGCAGUGAAAUGCGUAGAUAUGCGGAGGAACACCGAUGGCGAAGGCAAUCCCCUGGGCCUGCACUGACGCUCAUGCACGAAAGCGUGGGGAGCAAACAGGAUUAGAAACCCGUGUAGCC
Molecule: ribosomal RNA, 449 nt
Filed under: uncultured bacterium
Lineage: Bacteria
Description: partial 16S ribosomal RNA
Rfam family: Bacterial small subunit ribosomal RNA
Source: RNAcentral